CCAACACGGCAAGCGACAAGUGAGCGAGGUAGUAUCUUUUUGAUUUGUUGGGCCUACCACUACUACAAAUAAUUGCUAACUAAAAGCAAUGCAGUGGCAGAAUCACUAGGUACACAGCUCUAUCUGGGAAUGUUUUAAUGUUUUGCUUAAGAACCAAAAUAAUGAAAGUCACAUGGAGUACAUAAAACAUAUGGUUUUAGUCAUCGAUGCACACACGCACAAUCGGCUAUUAAUUGACAAUUCAAGGGAUAUCUAUUGCUAAGCUAUCUUGUAAUAUAUUACCAUCGUCGUAUAAGUCGAAUAUGGGGUUGGCUCCAAUAAAGAAAGCGUAAGAAGCGCAAGAUCGAGGAGGCUGCCGAGGGAGAGACCACCGAGGGUGGCGAAGGCGAGCUGUACGACCCAUCAGAGGCCACUGGAGAUGAUGAGGACUUCGAGAUGGUCGAGGCCAACCCCGAAGGCGGAGAGGGUGAAGGUGAUGAGGAGGGUGCCGAGGGCGAGGAUGGCCAAGGCGAGGAGUAGUUGGAUGCCCAGGACGAAGAGGAGGCCAAUGAAGAUCAGGAAGUCCAGCCAGAACGAGAGCCGGCAGCUCCGACCCCAGCACCGGCCACGCCUGCCGCCAAACCAGAGCCUGCCAAGACUCCGGUCAAGGCUGCUGCUGCAUAUGUGCUGCCUUGCCUCUCCCUAGCCACACGAACAUCCUCACGCUUUAGCAAAUUAAAUCCGAUUCCAUUAAAUGUCCCAAAAUAUUUAUCAUUUACCAUAGCCAAAUAUAUAAUAGAUUCUUGUAUGUACAGAAUAAACCAUACUUUCUCGA
RNAcentral lists this small RNA (814 nucleotides) under Drosophila pseudoobscura pseudoobscura. Its description in RNAcentral is "GA31723". The record is from RNAcentral. Lineage: Eukaryota; Metazoa; Arthropoda; Insecta; Diptera; Drosophilidae.